CGUCCAGCGUGGCGGCCGCGGUGCCGGGCGUUUUUCGCCGGGGUGACCGCACUGUUCUAGGUCCUAAGGAUGCAGAGAUGAGUAAAUCUCGUAGCUGGUGGUUGGAAGAUAUACAAAAAGUGAAAAGAUAGAACCCUGCCAGUAAUUCUUCGGUGUUACUAAGUCAGGCUCCCACGCUGUAGUCAAGAUUCUAGCAGGAAAGCGCUACGUUGCUCAUUGUUCUAAACACAAGUUAAAUGGAAAUGGAAAGCAAAAAUUGUAAGACAGGGGCUUCCCUGGUGGCGCAGUGGUUGAGAAUCUGCCUGCCAAUGCAGGGGACACAGGUUCGAGCCCUGGUCCGGGAAGAUCCCACAUGCCGCGGAGCAACUGGGCCCAUGAGCCACAGCUACUGAGCCUGCGCGUCUGGCGCCUGCGCUCCGUAACGAGAGGCCGCGACAGUGAGAGGCCCGCGCACCGCGAUGAAGAGUGGCCCCCACUCGCCGCAACUAGAGAAAGCCCUCGCACAGAAAUGAAGACCCAACACAGCCAAAAAUAAAUAAAUAGGUUUAUUAAAAAAAAUUGUAAGACAACUUUUCAUAUUCUCACAAGGAGAAAUGAAAAACCCUUGAACGAUAGGGGAAAGAGCAAAGGUCUAUAUAUUACUAUUUUUGUUUCCUUAAUGGAAUCAAAGUUGCAUCUUAAUCUUGCAAAAAGUGCUAUGUACACCCCUCACCCAGUUCCGAUUUCCCCUGAUGUUGUCCUUUUACACAACCAUGGUACAUUUGUCACAACUAAGAAACCGACCUGGAUGCACAGGGAUUCAGUACCCUCGAGAGAUGGAUGAAGUCUUUUGGUUUGCUAGGACUAGUGAUUCUAGUGCUUUUAAUUUCAUGACUGUGUUUUUAAAGGCGGACAUUUCUGAACCGUUUAAGUAACGUUGAGACGCCAAAUGCGUGGGCAGGAAAUCCUCCUGGUGGUGUUGGCGGAUGUUUCCUUCAAUCCUGCGGCUGCCCACCCCUUUCUAGAGAAGAGUUGCAACACUUCUUGAAGUUCAUUUGUGUGUAUUAGGGUUCUAAGAAAUUCAGUACUCCUUUGGCUUCCACAAAACCCUGUAGUUCAUUUGCUCGGUAAAUUAAACAGAGCCUAAAAGGGCACAACAACAAAAGAAAAAGGUUCGUUUGAAAAGUGAAAAGAUAUUGCAGGCUCUCUUUUGCACUUGGCAUUGACCCACAGCAGUAAAUGGCUCAACAUUUGGUUUUGUCUCCUUAAAGAAAGCACAAACUCUGCAUUGUCGGUACCUUUAUUGACACCAAGGUUCAAAGGUGGCAAG
Long non-coding RNA from Mesoplodon densirostris (Blainville's beaked whale), 1309 nucleotides. RefSeq lists it as uncharacterized. The transcript has 3 exons. Lineage: Eukaryota; Metazoa; Chordata; Mammalia; Artiodactyla; Ziphiidae. The record is from RefSeq and is a predicted model, not a curated record.